GCCGACCCACAGAUAAAAGGUCAAGAAAAACCAGGAAGAGAGAGAGAGGGCGGGAAGGAUCUAUGAACCAUAGAGAAAGAGACAAUCUACAUUGGCUGGAUUUACCGUGUACGAGCUGGACUGUUUUGGACUUACCUGUUGGCGUUUAGACCUGGACCUACCGAGAACCAGAUUUUUGUACCGAACCCUGCUAUCCUUGACCUUACCUGCGGCCUGGGUGGACCAGGACAGCGAAACAAACACACAGACACUGUCGCCUGGGUUUGCAUUGCAAAUGAGGGCAUAAACUGGGUCAAGACGCCAGCAGAAGCAUACUGGCUGGCAGCUGGUCGCCAGUUCACCCUACGGGCAAAAGGGAGAAUUGGACGAGGUGUAUGGC
Molecule: long non-coding RNA, 379 nt
Filed under: Salmo salar (Atlantic salmon)
Lineage: Eukaryota; Metazoa; Chordata; Actinopteri; Salmoniformes; Salmonidae
Description: lncRNA (ENSSSAG00000107325.1, ENSSSAG00020072438.1, ENSSSAG00075053573.1)
Source: RNAcentral